Molecule: long non-coding RNA, 1428 nt
Filed under: Anas platyrhynchos (mallard)
Lineage: Eukaryota; Metazoa; Chordata; Aves; Anseriformes; Anatidae
Description: lncRNA (ENSAPLG00020000007.1)
Source: RNAcentral
GGCGGGUGGGGGAGGGGGUGACUCACAUUUCUUAAGCCUCCGAGUGGAAACCUUUUUUCUGGAUAUAUAUUCCGACCAGAUCUAAAGCGCUAAGAAGAUUUCGGCAGCGUCGGUGCCUUAUCCCACCUUUAUUUACCUGCAGCCCUUGUAACGUGACACUUCCUUUCGCAAAACACCGCGGCAGUUUCCAAACCCCACUCAAGCUUUGUCACGGCCAUGCAUUUUUGACUGAGGGUCGCUUUCCUGCUCGCAGGACAAACACUCUCAUCCCAAAAAGCAGCGCCCCUGCGCCGUGCCGGCCCCUUGAGUCAGGGAAAGGAGAGUUGGAGGAGCCGCCAGCCCGGCCGGAUCGGGGAGCGCCCGGCCACGUCGAGGGAGCUGGGGACAUCCCGGGCAGGUCACAGUGACAAGUCAUUUCCUUCGAGGCGGCCGAGUCCCGCGGUCCCUCGCAGAGGGGUCCUUUGUCUACUGCUGCACCUCCACCCGCCUCUCAGGGGAAACGGGGGAAAGAAAAAAAAAAACCAGCCCUCUUAAUGACGAUGGUGGCAACAGACUGUUUGGGUCCUUGUACCCCCACACACACCUAAACAUUUCCCUUAGUCCCCGCUGAAAGGGGCGGUUUGGAAGUUGUGACAGUCUACAAAAGCCCGCCAGGACCCCCCGGCUCAGGGGCGAGGGCUUCGGGGCUUCCGUGCCCCCCGGCAUCCACGUCGUCCCUGUCGAUUUGCAGGAUUAUUUAUCGCCGACAUCCCGAGGACUGGCGCGAUGCCUCUGAGACUUGCCCCCGAGCGUCAGUCGGUCGGCGGGGCAUAAGGAGGAGAGGGGGGAAGGAGGGGCGGGGGGAAAUUUCUGCAGGUCUUUUUUUUUCCUUUUCUUUUUAAAUAAAGAUUUCUGUGAUGAACGACUAGGAGCCUUUUGAGUUUUCAGCAAAGUUGUGUGUGUGUGCGUAGUGUGGCUUUGUGGGGUUGCUAGACACAGUUAGCAUUUAUUUAUUUAUUUAUCUGUUUAGGUGGUGGGGAGGUUGCUUUUUUUUUUUUUUUCCUUGUGGUAAAUUGUUACAAGUCGCCUGUCUACAGAGCCCACUUUUUCUCUCACGGCCACUCUCGUUUGUUCCCGAGUCCAACGACGACAAGGGGGACUCAAUGCUAAAGGUGGAAAAACCCGGCACCGUAGUUGUUUUUGUUAAAAGGGGACACACUAAGGCUGCGAAACAGCAAAACCCCAAUGUUGGACAGCUGUAAAAUCGUGUAGACAGGUUGUCAUACAGCAGUGGGGGCUUUUCUGAAAGGAGCCCAUUGCUAAACAUUAAAUACACACACAGCACAGCACAGCACAGCAGCUGCGCGGACACACGCACACACACACACACACGCACGCCUGGAGGAAAGUGGCCCGGGCUGAGCUGCGCACCACGUGCUGCACCGGGGG